Molecule: RNA transcript, 2175 nt
Organism: Vicia villosa (hairy vetch)
Lineage: Eukaryota; Viridiplantae; Streptophyta; Magnoliopsida; Fabales; Fabaceae
Exons: 4
Source: RefSeq, a predicted model, not a curated record
UUCCAGCCGUUCCUUUUCCAAAAAUUGAGCGCUAAAAACAAAAUCAUCCCUCCCCGGUUCCUAACCCUUUCGCGACUAUUCUACUUCUUGAUAACAAUCAUUCCUAAUCAAAACUGUCACAAACCCUUUUCUCCUUCAAGCUAAACAAACAAAGCAAUCUCCCACAAACCCUAACCCUUUUUUUCUUUAAGCAAAUCAAUCAGAACACAUGAUUCCCUCUCGUUUGUGCUUACCAAUUGGAUCUCCUGUGUAUGCGAAGGUUAACGAAGAAAGAAGGUUAACGAAGAACACUACGCUCACUCGCGAACGAGGGUUUUCGAAGCUCACACAAUUAACUCACUCUUGGUUCUUCUCAUACCAGAGUCCCUCUCGCCAGUCUCUCUCAAGUCGGUCUCGUCACUUGUUAGUUCAACCUGUUUAUCUUUCCUUAUCCAGCACGGUAAGAAAAGAAACUUGAAGCUACACCUGACGGGGCUGAGUUUCAAGAAAAGCUAACUCGUGUUGCCGCAAUAAGUACCCACAAAAUUUUCUCAUAAGCUCCGGUUUGCUUUACAAUUUUAUUUCCAAUUAGGAUAUACUUGGAACAAUUUAUUCGUGCGGUAAACCAUCCUCCAGUGCAGGAACAUAUCAAAGAAAUGCAAUAAAGAUACAAAGGAAGAAAGGUCUCAUGAAUGUAUUGUGGAAUUUGAAAGCGUGUAGAACAUUACUGAGGACUAGUGUAGAACACGGUGAAGGUACCAUUUCGAGCCUAGAUGGCAUAGGACAAAGAACUGCUUUACAAAACUCUGGUGGAGCUAAGAUGUUUGAAAUUGAUGGAGAGCCUCUAUUUGAGACUAAAUCACUGCACGACAUGAUUCAGUUGUUUCACAUAGCUCAGGUAUGACUUGAUAGGAACUAGGUACAAUUCCUUAAAAUUAAGCAGACAUUUAUUGUUUGUUAUUUGCUUUUGAGCCUCUUGAAACAACCUCUUUAUUUGACGAGCAUAGCCCAUCUUAAACAGGUGAUGAUUUGGUUUUAUUGGUAUCUUUAUUGAAGUGGAGGGACGUGUAAAUACAAAUUCUGUUAUGGAUUUAUUUGGGCUAUUUUAGAUGUUCAGGAAUGCUAUUUACAUUGUAGUUUAAAUUAAAUAUAUAAAACUACACGUUCUAACAGUGUCUGUUGACAUGUUUGCCAAAGUAUUGAUGAGAAUAAUAGUGGAACAGUAAACAAGACAUGGACACAUACUAAAUCUAUGAGCUCUUUGUUUUGCAAGCACCAAAAAUAACUUAUGGAUUCAUUUUAUGUUUAUAUGCUGUCAUUGAUGCCCAUAUCUAACACUAAGGUGAAACUGUACCUCUAUUGUUACUCUGGUUGGUGAUUUAUUGUUAGACAAAUGUAAAUAUUUCUAAUUGCGUACAAUUACAUCUUAUAAACUAGGUAGUUUUUUUUAGUGUACAUGUAUUAUCUUGAAAGUGCAGGCAAAAUCGAGCAUGUUGAUUGUGCUAUUAGAGUUUGAACUCAUGUUAGGUGUGAAAGAGAUGUGUUCAUUUUUAAAAUGUUGAAUAAUUGUUUAUUUUUUUGUUGAACCUGUUGAGGUAAGCAUUUAUAAGUUUAUAAUUAUAGUAAAGCGAUAUAUAAUUCACAGCCACUGGUAAAAUAUGUGGUUGAUAAUUGAUACUUUUGACUUAAACUUUUGCUUUCUAUUACCAUUCGACAUGUAAUUUCUUUGGUCUGGUCCAUGUUGGUAUGAGGAAUACUAGAGUCAUCUCUUUAUGCUAGUGGAAGAUGUGUAUUCUACAAGGAGUCUCUCUGCUGCUUCUGGUAUGAUCAAGAAUUAUUACGAGCUGUAGGGAAGAUUCUGUUCAUGAAUGAAAUUGAUAAUUCUCAAUCAUAUUAGUCAUUUUGGUUAAGUCAAUUGACCUUGAGAAAUGAUCUCAAAAUGAGUAACAAGCUUGAGAAUUUUCAUAUUCAGAAAUCAUUUUGGAAUUUUAUUAGAUUUAGGGACCAAUGGCAAUGGAAACGAUCAUUUCUAAAUUACAAGAUUUUCAAAUAUAGGGACCAAUGGCAAUGAUAGUGUUACUUUGACGAGAAUUUUCACAUUCAACUAAUUAACCUUAAAUCAUUAGCUAAUAUAUAUUUUCUUAAUUUCAAGUUAUUACUUUAGUCUAAUGUUGAUGAUUAUUUUGCCUUUUUUGU